CAGAGUGACUUUCCAAGAUGUAGGGGCUACCCCAUUUCAGUGGCAGGCAGGAAUGAAAUUUGGUGCAGGAGUAUGGAGCAGACUACAGCAAUCCCUGUGUUGGCGUUCAGGGGAGAUAAGCAGCGACUGCAUCUCUGCCCACUGUCAUAGUCAAGUCUGGGUCCCAGUAUUCAUGAUGGAUUGUCCUUAAAAUCCUCAUGAUACCUGGAGAUGAGAAUAGGGAUAAAGGACCCAUAUAAAGAAAGACUAACCUCCAAGAUGAGAAGAUAAUAGUUGGACACUUCAUGAACAAUUGUUUGAGUCUCCUGAUCAGCACCACCACCUGCCUUCAGACAAUGGUCUGAAGACAACUUCCAGACAGUGGCAAGAACCAGAGAACAGAAGGCAAUGACUGGACUGGACAACAGCUUUGAACCAUUUUUCUUUCUGAAAUAUCGAUGAUAAUGAUUUUACAAAUGCCUCAUA
Monodelphis domestica (gray short-tailed opossum) is the source of this 465-nucleotide long non-coding RNA. RefSeq lists it as uncharacterized. The record is from RefSeq and is a predicted model, not a curated record. NCBI's taxonomy places the organism in Eukaryota, Metazoa, Chordata, Mammalia, Didelphimorphia, Didelphidae.